CCUACUGGUGGCAGCAGUGAGGAAUAUUGGUCAAUGGACGAAAGCCUGAACCAGCCAAGUAGCGUGAAGGAUGACUGCCCUAUGGGUUGUAAACUUCUUUUAUAAGGGAAUAAAACGAGGCACGUGUGCCUUUUUGCAUGUACUUUAUGAAUAAGGAUCGGCUAACUCCGUGCCAGCAGCCGCGGUAAUACGGAGGAUCCGAGCGUUAUCCGGAUUUAUUGGGUUUAAAGGGAGCGUAGAUGGGUUGUUAAGUCAGUUGUGAAAGUUUGCGGCUCAACCGUAAAAUUGCAAUUGAUACUGGCAGGCUUGAGUACAGUUGAGGUAGGCGGAAUGCGUGGUGUAGCGGUGAAAUGCUUAGAUAUCACGAAGAACCCCGAUUGCGAAGGCAGCUUACUAAGCCAUAACUGACACUGAAGCACGAAAGCGUGGGGAUCAAACAGGAUUAGAUACCCCAGUAGUC
This 460-nucleotide ribosomal RNA is filed under the name uncultured bacterium. RNAcentral describes it as "partial 16S ribosomal RNA". It matches the Rfam family "Bacterial small subunit ribosomal RNA", at positions 338 to 795 of the family's 1533-position model. The record is from RNAcentral.